RNAcentral lists this ribosomal RNA (454 nucleotides) under uncultured Eubacteriales bacterium. Its description in RNAcentral is "bacterial SSU rRNA". It matches the Rfam family "Bacterial small subunit ribosomal RNA", at positions 930 to 1382 of the family's 1533-position model. Lineage: Bacteria; Bacillati; Bacillota; Clostridia; Eubacteriales. The record is from RNAcentral.
CAGUGGAGCGUGUGGUUUAAUUCGAAGCAACGCGCAGAACCUUUACCAGGUCUUUGACAUCCCUGACAGCCUCAGAGAUGAGGUAUUCUGGUUUCCAGACAGGGAGACAGGUGUUGCAUGGUUGUCGUCAGCUCGUGUCGUGAGAUGUUGGGUUAAGUCCCGCAACGAGCGCAACCCCCGUUCUGUGUUGCCAGCGUAAAGUCGGGCACUCACAGGAGACUGCCGGAGACAAUUCGGAGGAAGGUGGGGAUGACGUCAAAUCCUCAUGGCCCUUAUGACCUGGGCUACACACGCGCUACAAUGGCCUGUACAGAGGGAAGCGAAAGAGCGAUCUGGAGCGAAUCUCACAAAACAGGUCUCAGUUCGGAUUGCAGGCUGAAACCCGCCUGCAUGAAGCCGGAAUUGCUAGUAAUCGCAGAUCAGCUACGCUGCGGUGAAUACGUUCUCGGGCCUU